GCCCUGGUGGCACAAUGGUUAAGCACUCAGCUGUUAACUGAGAGACUGGUGGUUCAAAUCCACCUAGUGGCU
This 72-nucleotide transfer RNA is filed under the name Loxodonta africana (African savanna elephant). It matches the Rfam family "tRNA". Rfam says of the family: Transfer RNA (tRNA) molecules are approximately 80 nucleotides in length. The record is from Rfam by way of RNAcentral. Lineage: Eukaryota; Metazoa; Chordata; Mammalia; Proboscidea; Elephantidae.